RNAcentral lists this long non-coding RNA (402 nucleotides) under Volvox carteri. RNAcentral's name for it is "long non-coding RNA (VCAR_LNC001016)". Lineage: Eukaryota; Viridiplantae; Chlorophyta; Chlorophyceae; Chlamydomonadales; Volvocaceae. The record is from RNAcentral.
UUUGAGAGCUCUUUGCGUUUUGAAUAAGCUGAAGAGGUUUAUACAUAAGGGAAUCGAAGAAGUUAUCAUAUUCGUCAUAAGCACAGGAGUUGUAGGACCUUCAAAUUUCGUCUCUUAAGGAGAGACACACAAGUGGGAGAUUGCCGACAAAGCCCUACCGAGGAGGUUCAUGCGUUGUAAAACUGGGUCCCUGCAAAGAAGAUUACUUCCAAAAAAUAGUUUUAAUAUAAAAGGCGUGCUAACCGGACGCGAGUCAAAAGCGGGCAUCUGGGGGAAGCCCCAAGGAAUGGAGGAAAAGACGCAUCUGUAGCUUCGUCCAUCGCCGACGCGCGCUGGCGGACCUCCCGGAGGCCUUGUGUCCAGUGAAGUUAGUACGGCCUGGCCGAGUUCUUUUUGAAUAAG